This 452-nucleotide ribosomal RNA is filed under the name uncultured bacterium. RNAcentral describes it as "bacterial SSU rRNA". It matches the Rfam family "Bacterial small subunit ribosomal RNA", at positions 29 to 524 of the family's 1533-position model. The record is from RNAcentral.
AACGAACGCUGGCGGCAGGCCUCAAACAUGCAAGUCUAGGGGGUGUAGCAAUACAUCACCGGCGGACGGGUGCGUAACGCGUGGGAAUAUACCUAUUGGUUCGGAACAACUGAGGGAAACUUCAGCUAAUACCGGAUACGUCCUUACGGAGAAAGAUUUAUCGCCAAUAGAUUAGCCCGCGUUCGAUUAGCUAGUUGGUGGGGUAACGGCCCACCAAGGCGACGAUCGAUAGCUGUUCUGAGAGGAAGAUCAGCCACACUGGGACUGAGACACGGCCCAGACUCCUACGGGAGGCAGCAGUUGGGAAUCUUGGACAAUGGGGGAAACCCUGAUCCAGCCAUGCCGCGUGAGUGAUGAAGGCCUUCGGGUUGUAAAACUCUUUCGCGCACGACGAUAAUGACGGUAGUGCGAGAAGAAGCUCCGGCUAACUUCGUGCCAGCAGCCGCGGUAAU